ACAUACGGCCAUAGAUUGCAGAAUGCAGGGCUUCCCGUCCGCUCAGCCGUACUUAAGCUGCAAAUCGGUUGAUUAGUACUCAAGUGGGUGACCAUUGGGGAAUCCCAGCUGCUGUAUGUU
This 120-nucleotide ribosomal RNA is filed under the name Neofusicoccum parvum. Lineage: Eukaryota; Fungi; Ascomycota; Dothideomycetes; Botryosphaeriales; Botryosphaeriaceae. RNAcentral also lists the same sequence under 1 other name. The record is from RNAcentral.